UACGGAGGGAGCUAGCGUUGUUCGGAAUUACUGGGCGUAAAGCGCACGUAGGCGGCUUUGUACGUUAGAGGUGAAAGCCCGGGGCUCAACUCCGGAACUGCCUUUAAGACUGCAUCGCUUGAAUCCAGGAGAGGUGAGUGGAAUUCCGAGUGUAGAGGUGAAAUUCGUAGAUAUUCGGAAGAACACCAGUGGCGAAGGCGGCUCACUGGACUGGUAUUGACGCUGAGGUGCGAAAGCGUGGGGAGCAAACAGG
This 253-nucleotide ribosomal RNA is filed under the name uncultured bacterium. RNAcentral describes it as "partial 16S ribosomal RNA". It matches the Rfam family "Bacterial small subunit ribosomal RNA", at positions 524 to 776 of the family's 1533-position model. The record is from RNAcentral.